AUAUUGGGCCUAGAGGGUCUCACACAUAUGGUAGGCAUUGCGAUGAGUAGAGGUUCGGAUAUGAAAUAUCCAACGGAGCCCUUGUCUUAUUGGAUGCAGAUCUAAUACCCACUAGGGAAGGACCCAUUAGGUUUUGACACGGGAUCUCUAUAAAUAGGAGGGAUUCACAGCCUCAUAGGCUAGAGUCUUUGCUUGCCUUUCCUAUUCUCCUCUCCCUCUCCACCUCAAAGUAGGCCUAGAGUUUUGAGGAGCGUCGUCGCAACCCUACUGUGUGGAUCACCACUAGAGAGGAGGACGCUUGACCUCCUUCACCCUCUCCUAAGGAUCUGCAAGGAAACAGGGAUAUACGAUCUCCCUAGGUAACACAAUCUCUAUACGCAGUUUUACGUUUUGCGGAUUUUUGCGCACCAAUCUUCACACGACGACGAACAUCUUUUUGGGAAUCGGGGAUUUUUGUUUUCUUGUUCUUCUGCUACGCAUAUGAUGUCGC
This 490-nucleotide long non-coding RNA is filed under the name Musa acuminata (dwarf banana). Its description in RNAcentral is "long non-coding RNA (MACU_LNC002688)". The record is from RNAcentral. Lineage: Eukaryota; Viridiplantae; Streptophyta; Magnoliopsida; Zingiberales; Musaceae.